RNAcentral lists this ribosomal RNA (381 nucleotides) under Escherichia coli. RNAcentral's name for it is "partial 23S ribosomal RNA". It matches the Rfam family "Bacterial large subunit ribosomal RNA", at positions 2544 to 2925 of the family's 2925-position model. Lineage: Bacteria; Pseudomonadati; Pseudomonadota; Gammaproteobacteria; Enterobacterales; Enterobacteriaceae. The record is from RNAcentral.
AUCCUGGGGCUGUAGUCGGUCCCAAGGGUUGGGCUGUUCGCCCAUUAAAGCGGUACGCGAGCUGGGUUCAGAACGUCGUGAGACAGUUCGGUCCCUAUCCGUCGUGGGCGUAGGAAAUUUGAGAGGAGCUGUCCUUAGUACGAGAGGACCGGGAUGGACAUACCUCUGGUGUACCAGUUGUCGUGCCAACGGCAUAGCUGGGUAGCUAUGUGUGGACGGGAUAAGUGCUGAAAGCAUCUAAGCAUGAAGCCCCCCUCAAGAUGAGAUUUCCCAACUUCGGUUAUAAGAUCCCUCAAAGAUGAUGAGGUUAAUAGGUUCGAUGUGGAAGCAUGGUGACGUGUGGAGCUGACGAAUACUAAUCGAUCGAAGACUUAAUCAAAA